This is a non-coding RNA of Podarcis lilfordi (Lilford's wall lizard), 68 nucleotides long. The record is from the annotation of a GenBank genome assembly. Lineage: Eukaryota; Metazoa; Chordata; Lepidosauria; Squamata; Lacertidae.
GCCAUAGCUCAGUGAUAUAGCAUCUGUCUUGCAUGCAGAAGAUCCAGGCUCAGUUGCUGGUAUCUCCA